This 439-nucleotide ribosomal RNA is filed under the name uncultured bacterium. RNAcentral describes it as "partial 16S ribosomal RNA". It matches the Rfam family "Bacterial small subunit ribosomal RNA", at positions 339 to 795 of the family's 1533-position model. The record is from RNAcentral.
CUACGGGUGGCACCAGUGAGGAAUAUUGCACAAUGGGGGGAACCCUGAUGCAGCAACGCCGCGUGGAGGAUGACGCAUUUCGGUGUGUAAACUCCUUUUAUAUGUCAAGAAAAUGACGGUAGCAUAUGAAUAAGCACCGGCUAACUCCGUGCCAGCAACCGCGGUAAUACGGAGGGUGCAAGCGUUACUCGGAAUCACUGGGCGUAAAGGACGCGUAGGCGGGUUGGAAAGUCAGGCGUGAAAUCCUACAGCUUAACUGUAGAACUGCACUUGAAACUUCUAAUCUAGAGUAUGGGAGGGGGAGAUGGAAUUAGUGGUGUAGGGGUAAAAUCCGUAGAUAUCACUAGGAAUACCUAAAGCGAAGGCGAUCUCCUGGAACAUUACUGACGCUAAGGCGUGAAAGCGUGGGGAGCAAACAGGAUUAGAUACCCCAGUAGUC